CUAGCCGGUACUCGCGAAUGCCCAUAGAGUUUAAUUUGAUCAUGGCUCAGAGUGCNACGCGUGGUAAUAGGCCUAACACAUGCAAGUCGAACGGCAGCACAGAGGAGCUUGCUCCUUGGGUGGCGAGUGGCGGACGGGUGAGGAAUACAUCGGAAUCUACUCUGUCGUGGGGGAUAACGUAGGGAAACUUACGCUAAUACCGCAUACGACCUACGGGUGAAAGCAGGGGAUCUUCGGACCUUGCGCGAUUGAAUGAGCCGAUGUCGGAUUAGCUAGUUGGCGGGGUAAAGGCCCACCAAGGCGACGAUCCGUUAGCUGGUCUGAGAGGAUGAUCAGCCACACUGGAACUGAGACCACGUGUUCCAGACUCCCUACGGGAGUGCCAGCAAGUGGCGGAAUAUUGGACAAUUGGGCGCAAGGCCUNAUUCAGCCNUUACCGGCCGUUUGGGCGAAAGAAGCCUUCGGGUUGNUAAAGCCCNUUUUGGUUGGGGAAAACGCAAACU
This 503-nucleotide ribosomal RNA is filed under the name uncultured bacterium. Its description in RNAcentral is "bacterial SSU rRNA". It matches the Rfam family "Bacterial small subunit ribosomal RNA", at positions 1 to 458 of the family's 1533-position model. The record is from RNAcentral.